UACGGAGGGUGCAAGCGUUGUCCGGAUUUAUUGGGUUUAAAGGGUGCGUAGGCGGGCUUUUAAGUCAGCGGUGAAAGCUUCGAGCUUAACUCGGAAAUUGCCGUUGAUACUAUUAGUCUUGAAUUAAGUUGAGGAGGGCGGAAUAUGUCAUGUAGCGGUGAAAUGCUUAGAUAUGACAUAGAACACCGAUUGCGAAGGCAGCUCGCUAAACUUAUAUUGACGCUGAGGCACGAAAGCGUGGGGAGCAAACAGG
RNAcentral lists this ribosomal RNA (253 nucleotides) under uncultured bacterium. RNAcentral describes it as "partial 16S ribosomal RNA". It matches the Rfam family "Bacterial small subunit ribosomal RNA", at positions 524 to 776 of the family's 1533-position model. The record is from RNAcentral.